RNAcentral lists this transfer RNA (69 nucleotides) under Hemitripterus bolini (bigmouth sculpin). RNAcentral describes it as "tRNA-Ala". It matches the Rfam family "tRNA". Rfam says of the family: Transfer RNA (tRNA) molecules are approximately 80 nucleotides in length. Lineage: Eukaryota; Metazoa; Chordata; Actinopteri; Perciformes; Agonidae. The record is from RNAcentral.
AAGGCUUUAGCUUAAUUAAAGUGUCUGUUUUGCAUGCAGGCGAUGUGGGCUAGUAUCCUGCAAGUCUUA